GGGCCUGUGACCUGGCCAGGAUAGGGCGUCACCCUCCUGAGCUGAAUACCGGGGAUUCGAAUCCCCUCAAGCCCG
This 75-nucleotide transfer RNA is filed under the name Methanofollis aquaemaris. RNAcentral's name for it is "tRNA-Arg". It matches the Rfam family "tRNA". Rfam says of the family: Transfer RNA (tRNA) molecules are approximately 80 nucleotides in length. The record is from RNAcentral. Lineage: Archaea; Methanobacteriati; Methanobacteriota; Methanomicrobia; Methanomicrobiales; Methanomicrobiaceae.